AAUGAACGUUGGCGGCGUGGAUUAGGCAUGCAAGUCGAGCGCGAACUCGCAAGGGGGAAAGCGGCGAAAGGGAGAGUAACGCGUGGUUAUCUGCCUUCAGGACCGGGAUAGCUGCGGGAAACUGCAGGUAAUACCGGAUGAUGUCUUCGGAUCAAAGGUGUGAUUCCGCCUGAAGAUGAGACCGCGUCCUAUUAGCUAGUUGGCGGGGUAAUGGCCCACCAAGGCAAUGAUGGGUACUGGGUGUGAGAGCACGACCCAGCUCACUGGGACUGAGACACUGCCCAGACACCUACGGGUGGCUGCAGUCGAGGAUCUUCGGCAAUGGGCGCAAGCCUGACCGAGCGACGCCGCGUGCGGGAAGAAGGCCUUCGGGUUGUAAACCGCUGUCAGAGGGGAUGAAAUGCUGGUGGGUUCUCCCAUCAGUUUGACAUAUCCUCAGAGGAAGUACGGGCUAAGUUCGUGCCAGCCGCCGCCGUAAUAC
This 481-nucleotide ribosomal RNA is filed under the name uncultured bacterium. Its description in RNAcentral is "bacterial SSU rRNA". It matches the Rfam family "Bacterial small subunit ribosomal RNA", at positions 29 to 526 of the family's 1533-position model. The record is from RNAcentral.